Molecule: ribosomal RNA, 525 nt
Filed under: Zygoascus meyerae
Lineage: Eukaryota; Fungi; Ascomycota; Dipodascomycetes; Dipodascales; Trichomonascaceae
Description: eukaryotic LSU rRNA
Rfam family: Eukaryotic large subunit ribosomal RNA
Source: RNAcentral
CAACAGGGAUUGCCUUAGUAGCGGCGAGUGAAGCGGCAAAAGCUCAAAUUUGAAAUCUGGUACUUUCAGUAUCCGAGUUGUAAUUUGUAGAAGCAACUUUGGUGAUGGUCUUUGCAUAAGUUCCUUGGAAUAGGACGUCAUAGAGGGUGAGAAUCCCGUUUAUGGUGAAGAACCCACACUAUGUAAAGUGCUUUCGAAGAGUCGAGUUGUUUGGGAAUGCAGCUCAAAGUGGGUGGUAAAUUCCAUCUAAAGCUAAAUAUUGGCGAGAGACCGAUAGCGAACAAGUACUGUGAAGGAAAGAUGAAAAGAACUUUGAAAAGAGAGUGAAAAAGUACGUGAAAUUGUUGAAAGGGAAGGGAUCUAAAUCAGACAUGGUAUUUUGUGAUCAACAGUCUUUCGGGACUGUGCACUCGCAUUUUACUAGGCCAGCAUCGGUUAGAAGGGGGUAAAAAAGAUUUUGGAAUGUGGCUCUUCGGAGUGUUAUAGCCAAGGUUAAUUGCCCCAUUUCUGACCGAGGACCGCGUC